GAGUUAGGCUCUGAGACUACCCAGCAGGUGAAGCUCUGGUUAACUAGCUCCCCCGAGGGCAGGCCUUGUUAAGAAGAGCUGAGUACUCUGGGAUAUUUCAAACUGGUUCCUUUUUCCCCUCACUCUGCUGGAAGCUGGAGAAGAUUUUUCUCCAAUAUUUUCUUAGGGAACCUGGUCAAGGUCUAGAAGGUAAAUCUCACCCUAUUGUGGGGUCCCCCUAUGAAUCAGUCUCUGUGGAGUUUUUGACUCUCAGACUUGUCUGGGCUGAGCCUCCAGUAAUUUGUCAGUUGGAGUUCCCGGUUUCCUGCCCGGCUUUUGGUCCCCAAGUUCUUUGAAAACAACUCUGGAAUGCUAAUUGCCGGAGAUCUGUCAGGAGCAAGGAGAACACAGAUUUGAUUUGGUUUCAGUUCAUUCGUGCUCCACCCAAUGCUGGAUUCAGGCAAUGGAAGGUCUGGCUGAAGACUGGAUGGGGGUCAGGGUGCUGCGCACUGUGCCUGGUACAUAAAUAAGAAGAAUACUUUCAAUCAAUGACUUUGUUGCCACCUUCACCUGCCCAGAGGAGAGGAGGACUUCCUGAGUGCAAACAUAUUUUGUGGGGCCUUUGUUGAAAAAAAAAAAAAAACAAUGGAAAGAAUGGAAUACUUGGAAAACACAUAUUUUAAACGGUUGGACAAAGAUAGCUGGUGCAUUUUUUUCUUCCUGCCAAGCCGUUUCCAUUUAGGAUUCAACAAAACCACAGUUCGACAUUGGAUUUAGAACCAAAUUUUCAAAGAAACACAUUGCCGGGGAACAUGCGCGGGAUUCCCACUGAUAAUCGCAUAAAACACGAAAGGAUGGAAUCUGACUGCCCAGUAUGGUUUCUCCUUCUGGCAUAUCAGAUGUGCCAUUCUUGAGAUACUGCUGUCCUUGGAAUCAUGGCUUCACAUCUGAAAAGGGGCAACAGGAUUAAGUAACAGUUUGGGUCUCUCUUUGACGUCUUCCCUUGACAAGUGUUAAAUGUUGCCAUUCUCUUGACAGUUCAAGAGCUAGUCAUGUGGUUGGUAUUUUACCAAUGAGAUAAAUGGGAAAAACGUCACUCUUCCUUUAAUCAGUUCUGUCAGUACAAACUUGGCAAGAAAUAAUAGUAAGGAGAUAUUGGCAUUGAGGCCUGUUCAUAUUUACUUUUGUGAUUUAGGAUUAUGAUGACUUUCGUGUAGCCUCACAGUGACCCUGUCUGGUUUGGAAAUUCUGAAGUUAGAAUGUCAAACCUCUUUCCCAUUCCUGCAGACAGAGGCAGCAACACUCACCAAACACUGGAGUUUUGGUCAGAUGCAUCCGUGCAUCCAUGCAAAACAUUUUAUUUUAUAUUAACCGAUUGAUAUUUGUGACUCAUAGAAAAAUAGGUCUCUCAUUUUCUUUUCCUGGCAAAGUUUGCUGCAUAAUUUGAUUUGUGUUUUGUUUUUUGUUUUUGUUUUUUCAACCCUUCCCUGUGUUUUGUGUGAUCAAAGAUAUUGUUUUCAAGCCUAAAAUAAAGGGAGCUGGUCUCUUGUCUUAUCAGAGAACGGAACACAUGUAUGACUGUGGCUUUUUACUUUUCUGGUUCAAAUCACUAGAAUUCAGAACUUAGCUUUGGGAUUGUAUUACUAGAAAAACCAAUGAAGAAUUAGUUUCUUAC
Molecule: long non-coding RNA, 1654 nt
Filed under: Equus caballus (horse)
Lineage: Eukaryota; Metazoa; Chordata; Mammalia; Perissodactyla; Equidae
Description: lncRNA (ENSECAG00000049898.1)
Source: RNAcentral